UCCAGCCUGAUGUUGGAAAGCCAUUGUGGAAAUUUCGCUCUUUUUCUAUAGCCAAUGAUAAAAAGGCCCCCACACAAUGUAAUGACAUGAGCAGCGGUGUACAGGAAAUUCUCCUUCAUUGUGAGCCUGCAAGUUUGCAAGAAGCACAUCAACCCCGUCAGCAAGCUUCUGUAGCACAAAGACACUUCUUCAACAGGAUGCUUGUUAUCUGCACUAUGAUGUGGCUGAAUUAUUUCUUAUCAUCUUUAGCGUAUUUCCGGCCAUUUGCUGCUGUGUUGAUCCAAAAUCCUCAAGGGAGCUGUUAAAGCCUCUUCCUUUUUUCAAAGCUGGGCUUGUGAUAUGAGCACUUGUGUUGUAAAAGCACAAAUUUUGUGCUUAAUGUUGUUAUAAAAUCAACAUUUAAAAAACCCUA
Long non-coding RNA from Oreochromis niloticus (Nile tilapia), 412 nucleotides. RefSeq lists it as uncharacterized. The transcript is spliced from 2 exons. NCBI's taxonomy places the organism in Eukaryota, Metazoa, Chordata, Actinopteri, Cichliformes, Cichlidae. The record is from RefSeq and is a predicted model, not a curated record.